Molecule: ribosomal RNA, 446 nt
Filed under: uncultured bacterium
Lineage: Bacteria
Description: SSU rRNA
Rfam family: Bacterial small subunit ribosomal RNA
Source: RNAcentral
AGAGCGAACGCUGGCGGCAGGCCUAACACAUGCAAGUCGAGCGCGUGUAGCAAUACACGAGCGGCAGACGGGAGAGUAACACGUGGGAACGCGCCCUUCGGUUCGGAAUAACUCAGGGAAACUUGAGCUAAUACCGGAUACGCCCUUACGGGGAAAGAUUUAUUGCCGAAGGAACGGCCCGCGUCCGAUUAGCUAGUUGGUGAGGUAACGGCUCACCAAGGCGACGAUCGGUAGCUGGUCUGAGAGGAUGACCAGCCUCACUGGGACUGAGACACGGCCCAGACUCCUACGGGAGGCAGCAGUGGGGAAUAUUGGACAAUGGGCGCAAGCCUGAUCCAGCCAUGCCGCGUGGAUGAUGAAGGCCUUAGGGUUGUAAAGUCCGUUUAACGGGAAGAUAAUGACGGUACCGUAGAAUAAGCCCCGGCUAACUUCGCGCCAGCAGCCGC